This 1593-nucleotide long non-coding RNA is filed under the name Homo sapiens (human). RNAcentral describes it as "HSALNT0371186". Lineage: Eukaryota; Metazoa; Chordata; Mammalia; Primates; Hominidae. The record is from RNAcentral.
CGUUCCCUCACAGAGAACUUCAUGUCGCUUUCUAAUUGAAUUGUUGUCAUGGAAAUCACUUUCAUUUGCUCUGAAAGGACUUAACUAUCAGCCCCCCGUUUUCUCACUUCUGCCUUUGAUAAUAAUCAGCUCACUCCUACCCCCUCCUCUCAACUCCCAAAUCUUCCUUCAAUGAGCAUUCUUCCCGCAAAGUCUGGAGUCAGGGAAAUCAAAAGUCUGGUUUCCUUCCUAAUCCUCGCUGGAGCAUUCCCCGUGCUGCUGACCGAAGAGUUGUACUAUCUGCCCUGAGGACGCACACCCUAUAGCCUGGGAUGGACCUACCUGGCAAUGGCCUUGUAUAGACUAAUGGAGUCAGCCAAUCACAGAUGAGGACCCUGGAGCUCAGAAGGACAUGUGAUCAGCUGACCCAGCUCCUGGUCUCUAAUCCAGGGAUGGCAAAGGGCACCAUGAGUGGAGAACAUCUCCAGAUGAGGUCACCAGUGGCCCUCCUGACCCCCGGCAUCUGACUGUUUGAGCGAAGAAUGACAUUCAAAUGCAAACAGAUGAGCCAUGCUCUGCGCAGAACACUCUGGAAGUGGAAGUGCCAACAUCUGUAGCAGGGAUGGGUAAUGACCUGCCAGGCAAGGCCACAGUGUUAAAUUAAUCCCUGAUGUGUUGGAGGGUUUUUAUUCUUUCAUUGGGUCAUUUAAUAAUGUGACGACUCCCUCCUUCCCUCCGCCUUUAGCUCCCCCAUUGCCAUGGAGACAAUUGUGAAUCAGCUAUCAUAAAUAAAAAUAAUCCAACUGCACCCGCCCGCGCCACAUGCCACUUGGAUGUGGUGCCAACUCGAGUUUAUUUUUUUUUUAAUCCAAGAGCUCUCAGGAGCUCGAGCAGUGCAGGACAUCUCCUGAGGAAUGGAUGCUAUUCAGUGCCUGUUCAAAGACAGGCCUGGGCGCAGGGGAUCAGAGGCUUAUGCCUGCCUCUUGCCAAUCGCUGGACCGAAGAGGGAGUUUUUGCCUAAAUGGGAAUUUCCCACCCGCUGGGGGACAGGGACGCCCUAUUCAUCAAUAUAUUCUGCUGCAGAAACUACUCCUGUACCCCUAAAUAACCCCCCAAAAGGUAUCCCAAGGGCUUUUCUGCAAAUGCAACAAAUGCAACAAUCCCUUUAGCUCGGAAUUCAAAGCCCUCCACAGCCCUUUCCCAAGUCCUCCCAGCAAUGUGGAAGAUGAUUUACAAAAAGGUUUUCAGGAACAUGGAAUCCCACCAUUAGAAGGCUAUUCCUUUCUUAAUUCUCCUGUAAUCCUUCUCAUAAAGAGAGGAAGCCUCCAUCUCUGCUAAUGAGUCUCUAACAUUUGGCUAAUGGCCCUUGUUAGACGGGAGACAGCAGGUCUCUGUCUGAGAGCCUUUGGCAAGCCGCGGUAUCUAGCUGGAAUUUAAGGUCAUUGCUUUGUUUUCAUUGUCUUUAUUUUGAAGGUUUCUGGCUAUUUAUGGCAAGUGAUACUGGCUUUCUAUUUGUGGUAGUGAUAGAGUCUGCUUUUAAAAUAAUCAUAUUUAAGUAAAAACUUGAGUUGAUUUUUAAAAAUAGGUAUUAAAUUUUUUACAAUAGCCAGAGAA